This is an RNA transcript of Asparagus officinalis (garden asparagus), 1104 nucleotides long. It is a transcript of the gene named armadillo repeat-containing protein 7, with no coding region annotated. The record is from RefSeq and is a predicted model, not a curated record. NCBI's taxonomy places the organism in Eukaryota, Viridiplantae, Streptophyta, Magnoliopsida, Asparagales, Asparagaceae. The transcript has 10 exons.
CCUACACUUGUUAUUUAUCUAAUCCCGACCCGACUGUCCUUUCAUCUCUCAAUCGUUUCAAGUCCCGUUUCUCUCAGCUCGCUCUCUCUCUCUCAGCUCUCAGCGUUUGAUGAUUUUGAUGGAAUCUUAGCUAAUUCGAGUAGGGAGAGCUUUUCUCAUCUCAAAGACCCUGCGAUGUUCACCAACGACAAGCGGCAGGUGGAGCGAACUGGGAGAUCCGGUACUCCCCGGGCCCAAUAUCUUCAGGAACUUGUGACGGAGUUUCAGAAGACCACCAGUGAAGAACAGAAGGAGAAAAUUGUUUCUCAUUUGGCUAAUUUUGCAUAUGACCCUUACAAUUAUGCAUUUCUACGCCAGCUUAAUAUUUUGGAGCUAUUCUUGGACUGUAUAACUGAACCAAAUGAAAGACUUAUUGAAUUUGGGGCUGGUGGGAUAUGCAACUCAUGUGUAGACCCAGAGAAUGCUGCAGUUAUAACUCAAUGUGGCGGAAUUCCUUUGAUCAUACAGUGUUUAUCUAGCCCAGUCAGGAACACGGUUAAUUAUGCUCUGGGAGCUCUCUAUUACCUUUGUAAUUCUUCUACUAAAAAAGAAAUAUUGAAGCCUGAGGUCGUUGAUGUCAUAAGAAAAUAUGCUGCAGCUGGAGCUGUUAAUGUGAGCUUCAGCAAUCUGGCUAAUGCAUUUCUGGACAUGCACGUAAAUUAACAGAAAUGAUGGCAAUCUAAAACAAGGCUGCACUACGGAUCUUUUGCUUCUCUUGGGCUGAGACGAAGAACAAAUGAAAUGAAAAGAGCGGAUGGAAUUUUGGGCAUUUUGUUGCCAAGACGCGAUAGGUAUUAUCUAUAUCUGUUUUGGGGAACUACGUGUUUGAAGGAAUGUCUGACCGAAGGAAAUUGUUUGUUGAAGAGGUGAAGCUAUCCUAUGUAAUUCUGUCCAUGGGGACUAGGUGUUUGAAGAAAUGUCUUAAAGCCUGAAGUUAUUUGUUGUAAUAUGUAGUUGAAAUAUGUAUUAUGUUUAUGUUUUAUUUUAUUUUUAAUUUUUGUAGUUUGAUCAGAUUCUUGACCUUGUGUGCUCAAAAGUUCCUCUAAAGAAGGCUUUUUGAACAUC